RNAcentral lists this long non-coding RNA (1171 nucleotides) under Populus tremula. RNAcentral's name for it is "long non-coding RNA (PTRE_LNC001259)". The record is from RNAcentral. Lineage: Eukaryota; Viridiplantae; Streptophyta; Magnoliopsida; Malpighiales; Salicaceae.
ACAAGUGAUGUGGAAAAUGAUUCAUUCUUGCCAUCCAAUUGCUCAGGACACUAGAAGGAAGAGACAUUACAGGAAAUUCUGUUUCAGGCCAGCUUGAUCAUUUCUUUCCUUCCCACCGAAGCAAACUUGAUGCAUCAGUCAUCUUUAAUCAAGUUUUGAAGUAUAUGAUGUAUUUUUGUCGAGGAAAUGCUGGUCUUUUGUCUUAGCCUAUCACGUCUGGACAUACAGCUCAAUUAGCCCCAUUGGUCCUGCUUUUUAUCUUCAAUAAUGCAAAGAAAUACAGGAGUGAUGAACGUUCUCAAUACCCUUCAUUCUAUCAUAUCCUACGAGAAAAUGACAUGACAUAUAUGUGGGUUCACUGCAGAAAUGUUCAUGUCCUAUAUGCUUGUUAGAAAUGUUACCUUUUACUGAUGGAUUUAAUCAAUUUAACCAUAUAAAGGAGUGAAGAGCUCGACCGGGAGGGAGAUGGAUUUCAAUCAAGUAACUGAUAAACCUCAUGCUGUUUACAUACCAUUCCCAGCUCAGGGUCACAUAACCCCAAUGCUAAUAAAGCUAGCAACACUCUUACAUUUUAAAGGCUUCCACAUAACCUUUGUCAAUACUGAUUAUAACCACAAACGAUUACUCAAAUCCAGAGGUUCCAGCUCUCUGGAUCGCUUAACGGACUUUCAUUUUGAAGCUAUACCUGAUGGCCUUCCAGAGACAGACGAAUCUGAUGCCACCCAUGACAUCCCUUCAGCCUUCGAAUCCACUGCAUAAUACUGCUUGGUUCCUGUGUUGUUUCUACUUUACAGGCUCAAUGACAGUACUUUCUGUCCCAAAGUCCCGCCGGUGACCUGUGUUGUUUCUGAUGGUGGUAUGUCCUUCACACUUGAUGCUACUGAAGAAUUUUGAAUUCCUAACUUGCUGUUCCAUACACAUAGUGCCUGUCGGUUCUUUUGUCUUAGCCUAUCACGUCUGGACAUACAGCUCAAUUAGCCCCAUUGGUCCUGCUUUUUAUCUUCAAUAAUGCAAAGAAAUACAGGAGUGAUGAACGUUCUCAUAACCCUUCAUUCUAUCAUAUCCUACGAGAAAAUGACAUGAAAUAUACGUGGGUUCGCUGCAGAAAUGUUCAUGUCCUAUAUGCUUGUUAGAAAUGUUACCUUUUACUGAUGGAUUGAAUCAAUUUAAC